GAUGAACGCUGGCGGCGUGCUUAACACAUGCAAGUCGAACGGAAAGGCCCAAGCUUGCUUGGGUACUCGAGUGGCGAACGGGUGAGUAACACGUGGGUGAUCUGCCCUGCACUUCGGGAUAAGCCUGGGAAACUGGGUCUAAUACCGGAUAGGACCACAUUUUGGAUGGUGUGGUGGAAAGUUUUUCGGUGUGGGAUGAGCUCGCGGCCUAUCAGCUUGUUGGUGGGGUAAUGGCCUACCAAGGCGUCGACGGGUAGCCGGCCUGAGAGGGUGUACGGCCACAUUGGGACUGAGAUACGGCCCAGACUCCUACGGGAGGCAGCAGUGGGGAAUAUUGCACAAUGGGCGCAAGCCUGAUGCAGCGACGCCGCGUGGGGGAUGACGGCCUUCGGGUUGUAAACUCCUUUCGCUAGGGACGAAGCGUUAUGUGACGGUACUUGGAGAAGAAGCACCGGCUAACUACGUG
Molecule: ribosomal RNA, 466 nt
Filed under: uncultured bacterium
Lineage: Bacteria
Description: partial 16S ribosomal RNA
Rfam family: Bacterial small subunit ribosomal RNA
Source: RNAcentral